RNAcentral lists this unclassified non-coding RNA (200 nucleotides) under Nodulisporium sp. RNAcentral's name for it is "partial internal transcribed spacer 2". Lineage: Eukaryota; Fungi; Ascomycota; Sordariomycetes; Xylariales; Xylariaceae. The record is from RNAcentral.
UUAAGUUCAGCGGGUAUUCCUACCUGAUCCGAGGUCAACCUUUGUACUGUCUCAGUGGGUUUCUUUCACGGCAGGCGCCCGCCGCGGGCCCUGAGCGAGGCAAAAGCUACUACGCUCGGGUUCGCGGCGAGCCCGCCACUGGAAUUCGGGGCCUACGGCGCACGUAGGGGCCCCAACACCAAGCGGGGCUUGAGGGGUUG